UACGGAGGGUGCAAGCGUUAAUCGGAUUUACUGGGCGUAAAGCGUGCGCAGGCGGCCCGUUAAGACAGGUGUGAAAUCCCUGGGCUCAACCUAGGAAUUGCGCUUGUGACUGGCGGGCUCGAGUACGGUAGAGGGGGGUGGAAUUCCUGGUGUAGCAGUGAAAUGCGUAGAGAUCAGGAGGAACACCGAUGGCGAAGGCAGCCCCCUGGGCCUGUACUGACGCUCAUGCACGAAAGCGUGGGGAGCAAACAGG
RNAcentral lists this ribosomal RNA (253 nucleotides) under uncultured microorganism. RNAcentral's name for it is "partial 16S ribosomal RNA". It matches the Rfam family "Bacterial small subunit ribosomal RNA", at positions 524 to 776 of the family's 1533-position model. The record is from RNAcentral.